CGGGAUGCUGCAGCAGUGGGGAAUAUUGGACAAUGGGGGAAACCCUGAUCCAGCAAUGCCGCGUGUGUGAAGAAGGCCUGCGGGUUGUAAAGCACUUUCGGUUGGGAGGACUGCUUCUAGCACUAAUAUUGUUGGAAGUUGACGUUACCUUCAGAAGAAGCACCGGCUAACUCCGUGCCAGCAGCCGCGGUAAUACGGAGGGUGCAGGCGUUAAUCGGAAUUACUGGGCGUAAAGCGCGCGUAGGCGGCUAACAAGUCGGGUGUGAAAGCCCCGGGCUUAACCGGGGAACUGCAUCCGAGACUGGGUAGCUAGAGUAUGGGAGAGGAGGGUGGAAUUCCACGUGUAGCGGUGAAAUGCGUAGAGAUGAGGAGGAACACCAAUGGCGAAGGCAGCUCUCUGGGCUAAUACUGACGCUGAGAUGCGAAAGCGUGGGGAGCAAACAGGAUUAGAUACCCCAGUAGUC
RNAcentral lists this ribosomal RNA (464 nucleotides) under uncultured bacterium. RNAcentral describes it as "partial 16S ribosomal RNA". It matches the Rfam family "Bacterial small subunit ribosomal RNA", at positions 342 to 795 of the family's 1533-position model. The record is from RNAcentral.